Molecule: ribosomal RNA, 571 nt
Filed under: uncultured Nocardioides sp.
Lineage: Bacteria; Bacillati; Actinomycetota; Actinomycetes; Propionibacteriales; Nocardioidaceae
Description: bacterial SSU rRNA
Rfam family: Bacterial small subunit ribosomal RNA
Source: RNAcentral
CUAUCAGCUUGUUGGUGAGGUAAUGGCUCACCAAGGCUUUGACGGGUAGCCGGCCUGAGAGGGUGACCGGUCACACUGGGACUGAGACACGGCCCAGACUCCUACGGGAGGCAGCAGUGGGGAAUAUUGGACAAUGGGCGGAAGCCUGAUCCAGCAACGCCGCGUGAGGGAUGACGGCUUUCGGGUUGUAAACCUCUUUCAGUACCGACGAAGCGAAAGUGACGGUAGGUACAGAAGAAGGACCGGCCAACUACGUGCCAGCAGCCGCGGUAAUACGUAGGGUCCGAGCGUUGUCCGGAAUUAUUGGGCGUAAAGGGCUCGUAGGCGGUUUGUCGCGUCGGGAGUGAAAACAGCGGGCUUAACUCGUUGCUUGCUUCCGAUACGGGCAGACUAGAGGUAUGCAGGGGAGAAUGGAAUUCCUGGUGUAGCGGUGAAAUGCGCAGAUAUCAGGAGGAACACCGGUGGCGAAGGCGGUUCUCUGGGCAUUACCUGACGCUGAGGAGCGAAAGUGUGGGGAGCGAACAGGAUUAGAUACCCUGGUAGUCCACACCGUAAACGUUGGGCGCUAGGU